RNAcentral lists this ribosomal RNA (492 nucleotides) under uncultured bacterium. Its description in RNAcentral is "partial 16S ribosomal RNA". It matches the Rfam family "Bacterial small subunit ribosomal RNA", at positions 29 to 507 of the family's 1533-position model. The record is from RNAcentral.
AGUGAACGCUGGCGGUAGGCCUAACACAUGCAAGUCGAACGGCAGCACAGUAAGAGCUUGCUCUUACGGGUGGCGAGUGGCGGACGGGUGAGGAAUACAUCGGAAUCUACUUUUUCGUGGGGGAUAACGUAGGGAAACUUACGCUAAUACCGCAUACGACCUACGGGUGAAAGCAGGGGAUCUUCGGACCUUGCGCGAUUGAAUGAGCCGAUGUCGGAGUAGCUAGUUGGCGGGGUAAAGGCCCACCAAGGCGACGAUCCGUAGCUGGUCUGAGAGGAUGAUCAGCCACACUGGAACUGAGACACGGUCCAGACUCCUACGGGAGGCAGCAGUGGGGAAUAUUGGACAAUGGGCGCAAGCCUGAUCCAGCCAUACCGCGUGGGUGAAGAAGGCCUUCGGGUUGUAAAGCCCUUUUGUUGUGAAAGAAAAGCAGCAGGUUAAUACCCCGCUGUUCUGACGGUACCCAAAGAAUAAGCACCGGCUAACUUCGUG